RNAcentral lists this ribosomal RNA (1233 nucleotides) under Salmonella enterica subsp. enterica serovar Indiana. Its description in RNAcentral is "partial 23S ribosomal RNA". It matches the Rfam family "Bacterial large subunit ribosomal RNA", at positions 161 to 1348 of the family's 2925-position model. Lineage: Bacteria; Pseudomonadati; Pseudomonadota; Gammaproteobacteria; Enterobacterales; Enterobacteriaceae. The record is from RNAcentral.
AAUCCAUAGGUUAAUGAGGCGAACCGGGGGAACUGAAACAUCUAAGUACCCCGAGGAAAAGAAAUCAACCGAGAUUCCCCCAGUAGCGGCGAGCGAACGGGGAGGAGCCCAGAGCCUGAAUCAGCAUGUGUGUUAGUGGAAGCGUCUGGAAAGGCGCGCGAUACAGGGUGACAGCCCCGUACACAAAAGCGCAUGUGCUGUGAGCUCGAUGAGUAGGGCGGGACACGUGGUAUCCUGUCUGAAUAUGGGGGGACCAUCCUCCAAGGCUAAAUACUCCUGACUGACCGAUAGUGAACCAGUACCGUGAGGGAAAGGCGAAAAGAACCCCGGCGAGGGGAGUGAAAAAGAACCUGAAACCGUGUACGUACAAGCAGUGGGAGCACCCUUCGGGGUGUGACUGCGUACCUUUUGUAUAAUGGGUCAGCGACUUAUAUUCUGUAGCAAGGUUAACCGAAUAGGGGAGCCGGAGGGAAACCGAGUCUUAAUUGGGCGUUAAGUUGCAGGGUAUAGACCCGAAACCCGGUGAUCUAGCCAUGGGCAGGUUGAAGGUUGGGUAACACUAACUGGAGGACCGAACCGACUAAUGUUGAAAAAUUAGCGGAUGACCUGUGGCUGGGGGUGAAAGGCCAAUCAAACCGGGAGAUAGCUGGUUCUCCCCGAAAGCUAUUUAGGUAGCGCCUCGUGAAUUCAUCUCCGGGGGUAGAGCACUGUUUCGGCUAGGGGGCCAUCCCGGCUUACCAACCCGAUGCAAACUGCGAAUACCGGAGAAUGUUAUCACGGGAGACACACGGCGGGUGCUAACGUCCGUCGUGAAGAGGGAAACAACCCAGACCGCCAGCUAAGGUCCCAAAGUCAUGGUUAAGUGGGAAACGAUGUGGGAAGGCCCAGACAGCCAGGAUGUUGGCUUAGAAGCAGCCAUCAUUUAAAGAAAGCGUAAUAGCUCACUGGUCGAGUCGGCCUGCGCGGAAGAUGUAACGGGGCUAAACCAUGCACCGAAGCUGCGGCAGCGAACGUAUCACCCAAGACAACUUUGCGGAGUUGACGAUUGACGGAGCGAAGCGACGUCAAAGCGUUCAUUAAAGUCGAGUUGGCUUAGGGAUACGUUCGUUGGGUAGGGGAGCGUUCUGUAAGCCUGUGAAGGUGUGCUGUGAGGCAUGCUGGAGGUAUCAGAAGUGCGAAUGCUGACAUAAGUAACGAUAAAGCGGGUGAAAAGCCCGCUCGCCGGAAGACCAA